UUUCCAUUGAAAUUAUCUUCCAUUCCAUUCAUAAUUGGAUUACGAAAUUCCUUCGUUAUCAGUCCUACAUUUUGUUUGAGUGAUCUCUUUCAUCUAUCGUCCGCAUCUGACAGUGUUUUUGUUCUUCUUCGACAUGUCUUGGAGGUGUUGUUUUUCUGGUUGUGGUUCCGAAGGAGUACCUUUAUUUCAUAUUCCAAAAUUUAAUGAAAGUUUAAAAACUGCUUUGCAAGAAAAAAAAAAGGGAUCGUAGAAUUGUUUGGCUUCAAAAACUUAACGUGAAGGAAUGUGACUUAAACAACAACACUCGUGUUUGCUCUCGUCAUUUUGCAUCUGGUAGGCCAUGUAAGAAUUCUUU
Long non-coding RNA from Daphnia magna, 355 nucleotides. RefSeq lists it as uncharacterized. The record is from RefSeq and is a predicted model, not a curated record. NCBI's taxonomy places the organism in Eukaryota, Metazoa, Arthropoda, Branchiopoda, Diplostraca, Daphniidae. The transcript has 3 exons.